This 490-nucleotide ribosomal RNA is filed under the name uncultured bacterium. Its description in RNAcentral is "partial 16S ribosomal RNA". It matches the Rfam family "Bacterial small subunit ribosomal RNA", at positions 29 to 505 of the family's 1533-position model. The record is from RNAcentral.
AGUGAACGCUGGCGGUAGGCCUAACACAUGCAAGUCGAACGGCAGCACAGUAAGAGCUUGCUCUUACGGGUGGCGAGUGGCGGACGGGUGAGGAAUACAUCGGAAUCUACUUUUUCGUGGGGGAUAACGUAGGGAAACUUACGCUAAUACCGCAUACGACCUACGGGUGAAAGCAGGGGAUCUUCGGACCUUGCGCGAUUGAAUGAGCCGAUGUCGGAUUAGCUAGUUGGCGGGGUAAAGGCCCACCAAGGCGACGAUCCGUAGCUGGUCUGAGAGGAUGAUCAGCCACACGGGAACUGAGACACGGUCCAGACUCCUACGGGAGGCAGCAGUGGGGAAUAUUGGACAAUGGGCGCAAGCCGGAUCCAGCCAUACCGCGUGGGUGAAGAAGGCCUUCGGGUUGUAAAGCCCUUUUGUUGGGAAAAAAAAGAAGCAGGUUAAUACCCCGCUGUCCUGACGGUACCCAAAGAAUAAGCACCGGCUAACUUCG